RNAcentral lists this small RNA (6546 nucleotides) under Pan troglodytes (chimpanzee). Its description in RNAcentral is "retained intron". Lineage: Eukaryota; Metazoa; Chordata; Mammalia; Primates; Hominidae. The record is from RNAcentral.
GGACUGGGAAGCAGUGAAAAGGAUUUUAAGCAGAGGAAUUACAUGAACGGAUUUAUCCUUCAAAAAGGUCACCUUAGGAGAGGUGUGGAAGAGAGACUAGAGGGCUGAAAAUGGAGGCAGAGAAACCUCCUGGCCAGGUGGUGAGUGGCAGAAGUCCUGGUGGGAGUGGGUGGUGUUUAAACAAAGACCUGAAUUAAAACUGAAGGCAAGAGGAGGAGGGGAAAAAUCAAGAAAUGUUAAGAAAGUAGAAUGUGUAGAACUUGGUGAUUUGUUUGAAAGUGUUGGGAGUUGUUGUUAAAUGAUGGUCUCAGAGAUCAUGGAAUAUUUGUCUGGUUUAGCUAAAUAAAUGUUAAAACUAGAAGCCUGUUUCUCAAAUUGGGGUCGCUGUGUCCCCUUAGAGGUCUCAUGCAAACUCUGAGUUGUUUAUGCUGCCUUAUGAGCUGGAUGUAUCUUAGGUUUCAAACAAGUUAUGAUUGCAGCACUACUCAGGUCUUACAAUAAGCCAGACAAGCAAUUCUUUAUUAAAAAUCAUUUGCUACUCCUGCCACCCACCACCCCAAGAUCUUUUUCCUGGCCAUUAUGUGCCUUAUCUCUCUCUACUAGUCAUAAAAUUUGUUGGCCACCCACUGUGUAUUUAUCUCAUCUCCUACCUCUACCCAUCACAGCUUUCUCAUCUUCUGAUUAAAUAGAAGAAUUAGCCUCUUAUUUGAUAAAUCAUUGUAUGGGUGCCUGUGUCUAAGGGUUUCUGAAGUCUAGCAAUAGAACAUCCUCUGCUCGUUGAGAAAACAUGUAGGGUCACCCAUCACCAAGCACUCCACAUGCCAGAGACUGCACUGAAAGAACACUCAAUUCUUUCAUGUAGUUAAAAGAACACAAUGCUUGCCCUCUGAGAGUUCAACAUCUGGAAACAAAUCUAAAGAGGGAGAAACUGGCAAGAAGAAACACAUUAGAAAUAGCAUCUGCCUUAAAUGAUGUACAGUAGGAUUUGGGUUGAGGUGCUGCUCUGGAGUUAUGGCCUGCUGUUAGUAGUCUUGAUAGCUAAAACUAACAUGCUUUUUUCUUGUAAGAUUUCAGAUUGAAUAUAGUGGUUGAGAGCCUGGAUUCUGGGGUCUGACUUCCUGGCUCUGCCACUUCCAUGUGUCACCCUGACCAAACUGUGUCAUCUCUAUGCUUCCCUUCAUUGUGAGAUGAGGAUCAUAAUAGUAUUUACCCUAGGAAUGAGAGGAUUCAAUGGCAUGUGUGUGUGAUGUGCAGCACACCUCCUGACACAGUGUCAGUGCACAAUAAAUACUCGCUGCUGACCCUUCCUGAAGCCAAAAAGAAGCCUCUGAAGGCUCAGCUGAGAAAGGUGUGCUGCAUGAGUACCAAAGAUUGCUGCCUUCUUUCCAAACGAGAGCUGCUAUGGCUAACCCUGAGAUCCUUUGUAGUCAUUUAAUUACAGAGAAAUUCUGGAACAUACUUUCUUCAAGCCAAGUUAGUCUUUUUAGUUUUUAAAUUACAUCUUGAUCGUAUCACACACAAUCAGUUGUCACUUCAGGGCACUUCCAGAAACAAGUUUGCAGGCCAGCAUGUGGCAGGUAACACCUUAGAGGAGACUGGGGCAUCACUGCCUCUCUGAAAUCGUCCAUUGAUAUCAUCCCCUCCCUCCUCCUUUGAGCUCAACACACAUUAAUCAAAUACCACAAUUUUUCAGGUUCUGUAUUAGGCUCCAGGGAUACAAGGGUGAACAGACAAUUCCCAUCCUCAUGAAAUGUGCAAUUGUGUGGAAAUACAUGUGAACAAAUUCAAUCCACUGUGAUGGAAGCCCCAAUGGGAGUGUGUAGAAGGUCAGAAGAGGUACACAGAAAGGACAACAAGGAAGGCUUCACAGAGGUGGUGACAUCUCACUAGGAUUUUGAAGGGAAUAAGAAUGGGGAGAAUCAGAAGAUCAGCACGGUUUGCACAGAGGAACUACAGCAGAGGUGUUUUCGGGGGACAUGGUGGUAGAUGAAAUUGAAGAUGUAGGCAGGAGUUUGAUCAUGUAAGAGCUUGGCCUUUGUCGUGGGAACAUCAGGGGCCAUUGAGGGACUUCAGGUAACAGAAUGCCACAGAUCCACAAUUUUAGCAGGAUCACCCUAGUAUGAAAGACAAACUUGAAAAGGGUUUGCAGAUGCUGGCAGGUUCAUGUCACCACUGCGGAUUCAUUGAGGGCAGAGACAGAGUCCUAUUUAUCUCUGUACCCCUAAAGUUUAGUGCUUUAUAGACAUUUAAGAAUUUUUUUUUUCAGAGUGAAGACAGCCCAAGUUGAAUUUUCCCAUUCUGUAUCCUAUCCUCAGAACAUGCUGACCUGGACUUCCAUCUGUCACAAGCAGCUUGACUAAGAUCCUAGGAAAUUCCUUUUUUUCUUGGCAUUCUUCUAACUGACACUCUCUGUUUACUGGGCCCUCUGUGCAGCUGUAACGUGUGAUGAUUGAUGCUUAUAAUUCUGACCUUGAAGUACUUCAUGGCUUCUAAAUCAUCAAAAAAAGAUUAAAGCAUAUUCUCAGUAUCACUGUAAUGUUUGUGUGUUUUACUGCCUUCUUCUCUGGAAAGUGGUGGUUUAUGAAGUGCCCGUGCGCUUGUGUGCACACGGACACAGUGAGAGUCUGUGAUGGUCCUCAACUCUUCUCCCACAGGGAGGCUAUGGUGCAUGCUUGAAAAUAAACAAACAAAAUAACCUGGGUUCUCUUCAUGCCUAGCAGGAGGAAGCAGCUUGGUCUCAGGGGCAAAGAAGCUUGAAAUGAGAGCGAAAGCAGUGGUUAGGAAAGCAGAGGGAAUGAUGAGGCAGAACUGGUGCAGACCAGGAGUCAGGCAGUUUACGAGCCAGCCCUGGCUGGCUGCAUUCUGACCCCAGGAAGAGCAAAGCCCAGGGUCGGGACUGCAGCUUCAUGUUCUGUGUGCCUGGACCCAAAUCAUCAGGCUUGGAUUUGGCGGGAUUCUCCACCAGCUAUAUUUGUAUCUCGGUAACAACCGCUCAGUAAAAUGCCAGACAUUAGGCAAGUGAAAACAUCAAUAAUUAGAGCCUCCUGUUCCCCACACAUCUUUUCUUGAAAACCUUUAUUGCUGCAGAGCUGACAUUAUUAGGCACAGAAUGAAGAACUCCAAAUAGAAACUGUGAAAUGGCUCCAUCUUAUAACCUGAGUCCUGAAAAAUAAGGGUGUGAUGUUGUCACUAGGCGGGAGAUUUGUUUAGGUUUUCUUUUUUUCUUUUCUUUUUCUUUUUUUUUGAGAUGGAGUCUCGCUCUGUCGCCCAGGCUGGAGUGCAGUGGCGAGAUCUCGGCUCACUGCAACCUCCACCUCCCGGGUUCAAGUGAUUCUCCUGCCUCAGCCUCCCAAGUAACUGGGACUACAGGUGCCCGCCACCACACCUAGCUAAUUUUUUGUAUUUUUAGUAGAGACGGGGUUUCACUGUGUUAGCCAGGAUGGUCUCGAUCUCCUGACCUCGUGAUAUACCCGCCUUGGCUUCCCAAAGUGCUGGGAUUACAGGCAUGAGCCACCACGCCUGGCCCUUGUUUAGGUUUUCUUUGGGGACCGUAUAUUGCAGUAAAUAGAAAUACCCCUUCCAUUUUGUUGUAGAAAUUUGUUUUUAAAAUCUGUGUUUGGUCUACACUCGUCAUCCCAGCCUAAAGAGCCAGUCCCUGAACCACAGAAGUUCUGUUUGCCGCCUCUCAGCCAGGGCAUGUGUGGGCUUUACAGGCAGCUUUACCACUUGCCAGUUCUGUGAAUUUGGGCAAAUGUUUUAGACUCUUUGGGUCUUAGUUUUGUUUUUUUAAUCUGAAAUAUUGGAAUAAUGCAGAUUCCUUAUUUUACAGCGUUGCUGUGAGGCUGAAAUAAAAUGGUGGAUGUGGAAAUGCUCAACUAGAAGACCCUAUCUAUAUCAAUAAUAGUAUAUUAAAUAUACUAAAGAACAUCAUAAAUAUCCUAACAAAAAUAGAAAUAUAUUUCAUCUGCAAACAUGACAUCCUCCAAAAUUGUCCCAAAGUAGAGUAGGGAAAUGAACUAUUUAUUGAAUCUCUACCUUAGGGGAGGUGUUCCAGCUAUCACUUUAUCUGUUCUGCAAAGUAGAUCUUAAAUCCCACUUUUAGACACAAGGAAACUGAGACUCCUAGUCACAGCAGAAGUGGGAUUUGAACCUGACUCGAGAACUUAAUGCUCCUUCUCCUUGGCUACAUUAUCUCGUUGUCUAGUUCCAGACCCCCAGUGUUCUUAAAAGCUUUGACAUUCUUUGGUGCUGGGAAGUGUGCCAGCCAUUUCUUGGUCAUUCACUCCUGUAAGUGGGGCAGGGUGGCACCCAGAGGGAACUGGAGCACCAGGUGCCCCCAGAGAGACCAGCAGCACGGAGUCGUCCAGUGUGUGGGACAGGCCCUCCGUUGGCGUUCCACUUUUAGGGAGUUGGCCUGGCAUGGACAGAAAGCCAGGCAACAGCUGUGCCACAUUUCCUAGCCCUUGAGAAAAUGGCUACGGCCCUGUCGUUUUCAGAAGUUCAUUCUUUUUCUGUCAAAGUGAAGCCACCCUUCCUCAGGACUCCUCUCAGCAAUCAGUGCCUCUUGUGUAUUCUGACCGGCCCCUUAUUCUGUUUGUAGAGGGAGUGAGAUUAGAUUUAUUCUAUGUAGUAACCACUCCACUAAGCUUUUCUGCGACUCUUCCUGUUAGCUUUGAUGCCGGGCAUUGGGGGAAAGGGUUCCCAAUGUGGCAGUUCCUUAAGUGCCCGGUGGGACCCACUGCUGCAUACAUUUUCUUCUUUAUAUCCUUCCCUGAUUCCCAGGCAAACAGAGUCGGCUUGUGAACUGGAGCUGCCCACCCAGAGAACCAGAGAUAAUGCCUGUUGAAGGGCCAAGUUGCAUAUUCAGCGAGGAUGUCAGUGUGUGGGAGAAGCAUUUGUUCAGCCUGCGGUUCUGAGAGGAACUGUGUGUUGUGUUCCCAUAGGUUCUCAACAGGAGGUGUGUAGAAGCGGCGGUGAUGACAGGCCUGGCUCUGAACUGCCACAUAAACAAGAAGUCCUUGUUUGACAGGAAGCACUACUUCUAUGCAGACCUCCCUGCAGGCUACCAAAUUACCCAGCAGAGGCUCCCAAUUGCUGUGAAUGGGAGCUUGAUAUAUGGCGUCUGUGCAGGGAAGAAGCAGAGUCAGGUGAUCCCCAAGACGGUGAGGAUCAAGCAGAUCCAGUUGGAGCAAGACAGUGGCAAAAGCCUCCACGACAACCUGAGGUCUCAGACGCUCAUUGAUUUGAACAGGGCAGGAGUGGGCCUUCUGGAGGUGGUCCUGGAGCCCGACAUGUCCUGUGGAGAAGAGGCGGCAACAGCUGUCAGGGAGCUGCAGCUGAUCCUUCAAGCCCUGGGGACCAGCCAGGCGAACAUGGCAGAGGGCCAGUUGAGAGUGGAUGCCAAUAUAUCCGUGCAUCACCCUGGGGAGCCUUUGGGCGUUCGAACGGAAGUGAAGAAUCUCAACAGCAUCAGGUUCCUGGCCAAAGCCAUAGACUAUGAAAUUCAGAGGCAAAUCAAUGAACUUGAGAAUGGAGGUGAAAUUCUGAACGAAACACGCUCAUUUCAUCACAAGCUGGGGUGCACCAUGUCAAUGAGAGACAAAGAAGGAAAACAGGACUACAGGUGCAGACCCACAGCAAGUGAUCAAUAUUGACCAGAUUCGGGAGACACUCCCGGAGCUCCCCAGUGUGACCCGAGAGAAGCUUGUCCAACAGUAUGGGAUGCUGCUGGAACACAGCUUCACUUUGCUGAACGAAGUCGGCCUACUGGAGUUCUUCCAAAAUGUGAUAAAAGAAACUAGGGCAGAGCCAAAAAAGGUGACUAGUUGGGUCCUCAACACUUUUCUGGGCUAUUUAAAGCAACAGAACCUCGCUGUCAGUGAGAGUCCUGUCACACCCUCUGCACUCGCUGAGCUUCUUGACCUGCUGGACAGCAGAACAAUUUCUUCAUCAGCAGCUAAACAGGUGUUUGAGGAACUGUGGAAGAGGGAAGGCAAGACUCCAGGGCAGAUUGUUUCAGAAAAGCAGCUUGAACUGAUGCAGGACCAGGGGGCACUGGAGCAGCUCUGCCACUCUGUGAUGGAGGCCCAUCCUCAAGUGGUAAUGGAUGUGAAGAACAGAAACCCCAGAGCUAUAAAUAAACUGAUUGGGUUGGUCCGGAAAGCGACUCAAAGCCGAGCAGAUCCAGUCAUGAUAAAGGAGAUCCUGGAGAAGAAGCUGUCAUUGUGAGAUGUUUGGGAUCCCCUUGCCCAAGGGACAACAGUGCAGCCUGACUGGGAACAGGAUCCCGUGAAAGCUGAUGCCCAUGUGCCCUGAGAGCUGCCUCUCAAUCCCUGUCCCGAGCCACAGCUAUGGCGUUAAUGUCACCAGUGUUCUCACCCUCUAGGCCCUGUGCCUGGAGGUGCCUCCACAGCCGACCAGCAGCCACCCCGCCUGCUUCAUGCACAUCAGGAGGGUCCGGUGAGGCUGCAGCAGUGGUUAAGGAGUAACACCUUCUUGUAUUAAGGAAUUUUAAACUAAAUAAAAUGUAUGUUGGAGAUACUGUUA